UUAGGAAUUUUGGGCAAUGGGCGAAAGCCUGACCCAGCAACGCCGCGUGGGUGAUGAAGGCCCUCGGGUCGUAAAGCCCUUUUCCCAGGGAAGAUAGUGACGGUACCUGGGGAAUCAGCCCCGGCUAACUACGUGCCAGCAGCCGCGGUAAUACGUAGGGGGCAAGCGUUGUCCGGAUUUAUUGGGCGUAAAGCGCUCGCAGGUGGUCCGUCGCGUCGUGCGUGAAAGACCCCGGCUCAACUGGGGAGGGUCGUGCGAUACGGGCGGACUGGAGGCCAGUAGGGGGAUGCGGAAUUCCGGGUGUAGUGGUAGAAUGCGUAGAGGUCCGGAGGAACACCAGCGGCAAAGGCGGCAUCCUGGACUGGUCCUGACACUCAGGAGCGAAAGCGUGGGGAGCGAUCCGG
This 404-nucleotide ribosomal RNA is filed under the name Bacillota bacterium. Its description in RNAcentral is "Firmicutes bacterium partial 16S ribosomal RNA". It matches the Rfam family "Bacterial small subunit ribosomal RNA", at positions 355 to 776 of the family's 1533-position model. Lineage: Bacteria; Bacillati; Bacillota. The record is from RNAcentral.